UUCUAACGUCAGUUAACCCACUUAGAAACU
Molecule: non-coding RNA, 30 nt
Filed under: Mus musculus (house mouse)
Lineage: Eukaryota; Metazoa; Chordata; Mammalia; Rodentia; Muridae
Source: RNAcentral